This 245-nucleotide unclassified non-coding RNA is filed under the name uncultured fungus. RNAcentral's name for it is "partial contains 5.8S ribosomal RNA, internal transcribed spacer 2, and large subunit ribosomal RNA". The stretch from base 1 to 52 matches the Rfam family "5.8S ribosomal RNA", at positions 103 to 154 of the family's 154-position model. Lineage: Eukaryota; Fungi. The record is from RNAcentral.
AACGCACAUUGCGCCCUCUGGUAUUCCGGGGGGCAUGCCUGUUCGAGCGUCAUUGUCACCAAUCCAGCCCGGCUGGGUGUUGGGCGUCGCGGCCAUUGGCCGCCCGCCUCAAUGUCGCCGGCCACGCUGUCCGUCCCCUCGCGUUGUGGCAUCUGUCUCGCGUCGGUGGCCGGUCAGGGUGUGCCGCUCAACCCAAUUCUUCUCAGGUUGACCUCGGAUCAGGUAGGGAUACCCGCUGAACUUAA